CCGCGGCCAAGAGUCCGUGGUCCAACCCGAUCGAGGGUCGGUUC
RNAcentral lists this ribosomal RNA (44 nucleotides) under Squilla empusa. Its description in RNAcentral is "partial 5.8S ribosomal RNA". Lineage: Eukaryota; Metazoa; Arthropoda; Malacostraca; Stomatopoda; Squillidae. The record is from RNAcentral.